GACGGAGGGUGCUAGCGUUGUUCGGAAUUACUGGGCGUAAAGGGUGCGUAGGUGGUUGAUUAAGUUAUCUGUGAAAUUCCUGGGCUUAACCUGGGACGGUCAGAUAAUACUGGUUGACUCGAGUAUGGGAGAGGGUAGUGGAAUUUCCGGUGUAGCGGUGAAAUGCGUAGAGAUCGGAAGGAACACCAGUGGCGAAGGCGGCUACCUGGCCUAAUACUGACACUGAGGCACGAAAGCGUGGGGAGCAAACAGG
This 253-nucleotide ribosomal RNA is filed under the name uncultured bacterium. RNAcentral's name for it is "partial 16S ribosomal RNA". It matches the Rfam family "Bacterial small subunit ribosomal RNA", at positions 524 to 776 of the family's 1533-position model. The record is from RNAcentral.